CAGUAGCCACGGUAACACGUAGGUGGCAAGCGUUGUCCGGAAUUAUUGGGCGUAAAGGGCUCGCAGGCGGUUUCUUAAGUCUGAUGUGAAAGCCCUGGGCUCAACCUAGGAAUUGCAUUUGAUACUGUUUGGCUUGAGUUCGGGAGAGGUGAGUGGAAUUCCCAGUGUAGAGGUGAAAUUCGUAGAUAUUGGGAAGAACACCAGUGGCGAAGGCGGCUCACUGGACCGACACUGACGCUGAGGCGCGAAAGCGUGGGGAGCAAACAGGAUUAGAUACCCCAGUAGUCCCUGUCUCUUAUAC
This 301-nucleotide ribosomal RNA is filed under the name uncultured bacterium. RNAcentral's name for it is "partial 16S ribosomal RNA". It matches the Rfam family "Bacterial small subunit ribosomal RNA", at positions 509 to 807 of the family's 1533-position model. The record is from RNAcentral.